ACUCCUACGGGAGGCAGCAGUGGGGAAUAUUGCACAAUGGGCGCAAGCCUGAUGCAGCAACGCCGUGUGAGUGAAGAAGGUUUUCGGAUCGUAAAACUCUGUCCUAAGGGAAGAAACAAAUGACGGUACCUUAGGAGGAAGCCCCGGCUAACUACGUGCCAGCAGCCGCGGUAAUACGUAGGGGGCAAGCGUUAUCCGGAAUCACUGGGGCGUAAAGGGUGCGUAGGCGGCUUAGCAAGCCAGGGGUGAAAGGCAUUGGCUCAACCAAUGUAAGCCUUUGGAACUGUUAAGCUUGAGUGCAGGAGAGGUAAGUGGAAUUCCUAGUGUAGAGGUGAAAUUCGUAGAUAUUAGGAGGAACACCAGUGGCGAAGGCGACUUACUGGACUGUAACUGACGCUGAUGCACGAAAGCGUGGGUAGCGAACAGGAUUAGAUACCCUGGUACACAGAG
Molecule: ribosomal RNA, 450 nt
Filed under: uncultured bacterium
Lineage: Bacteria
Description: bacterial SSU rRNA
Rfam family: Bacterial small subunit ribosomal RNA
Source: RNAcentral